GUAGAUGUUGCUGUCCCUAGAAAUAUAAUUUAGUACCAGUCAAGUUGAAGCAAUUACACCAGAUUUUUCACCAGAAGCAAUUUCAGAAAGGAGAAAAUACUAAUUUGAAACAUUCAUCAACUAUAACAACUUACGCCAACCUUUUCAGAUUGCCGGUGCUGGAUGUGUGAGAGGAUGGGUUUGUGUGAGGAAUAAGCGCAGUAGUGAUUUUACUACCGGUUCUGUAGGCGUGACUGGAUGGGUGUGUCCAAGUUGACAUCACUUCUUUGCCCUAAUGACAGGUGGGAUUCAGCUAGUUCGCACCAGUUCUGGCGAACCGGUUAAGAUUUUGUGGAGUUCGGAGAACCAGCGAAUCGUGCCACAGCUGGCUCCACCCAGUCACCUCAUCUCGCCUGUUCACCCACCAUUGCUGCCUGCCUGCGUCCACCAUUCUUGCCUGCCUUCCACCGCGCCCCUGAUCUCCCUGGCUUACCUUCCUGUGAGCGACUCCCGAGUGCCUCCAGCUCUCCUGCCUUGCUUCACGGCCCAAUGCUGUUCACUGGAUCAACGUGCGAGCAACUCCUGAAUCUGCCUGCCUCCCACAUGGCCUGCCUGCCUUCACCUAAUUUUGGGGUGUAGGAAUAGAGAAGUGAGAAGACUUGAGACUCUGUAAAAAGUUCGGACAGAAGGCGAGUGAGAGCUGAACAUGACUGAAAUCCCAGGGAAGGUGAUUGCAAGACUUGAACAUUGCGAGAGAAAAGGAAGCGCUUCUUCGCAUAAUACAGGUAUGCUUUGGUCCAGAAACUUUUCCCACAAACCGGACCCCUCUGUGGGUUUUCUUCCAUGUCGAUUCACUCGUGAUUCAUGAGGUUUUAUCUUUGCCCAAAACGUUUCUCCCAGAGGGAGCAUGUGUGAUUUCUCUCCCACGCGGCUUCUUUCGCGGGAUAUAAAGCUCGAUUUUGGCUUGAACCUUUUCCCGCAAUCCCUGUAUGAAUACGGUUUCUCUUCCUAAGUGGAUUCUUCCAAAGGUUUUUUAAGGCUGAACUUCCUACGCAGACAGAACACAUGUACAGCUUUUCCUGGGUGUGGAUUUUUCGGUGUAACUUGUUCUGUGCUUGAAGUUCUUCCACAGACUGAACAGGUGUAGUGUUUUUCUCCAGCAUGAAUUCUUUCAUGGGGGGAUUCAUUGGCAAACAUUUUCCUGCAGACAGAGCCCAAAUAUGGCAUCGUCCCCAUGUGAGUUUCUCAUAUAUCAGAGAAGGUUGGCUUUAUCGCUGCAGCUUCUCCCACAGACUGAGCAUAUAUGCGGAGUUUUUCCAGCCUGGUCUCAUUCAUGGUUAGUGAGGUUGAACUUUUGCUUGAAGCUUUUCCCACAGAACAUGCAUGGUUAAUACAUUUUUCUUGUGUGUGGAUAUGCUUUCCUGUGAAAUCAAGUUAGUUCUCUCACUCCUCCCUUUUCCACACAUACGGAGCAUAUAUAGGGUGUCUCUCCUGUAGGUUUCCUCUUGGAUGCAAGAUGUUUUGUGACUAAGAAGAUUGCAUCUUUGGUUCAAGCAUUUCCCACACACUGAGCAUGUGUGUAAUUUUUCUCCCUUGUGGCCUCUCCUGUGGACAGCCAGAUGACUUUUCCAGCUAAAUCCCUUCCCACAGACCGAGCACGCAUAUGGUUUUUCUCCUGUAUGGUUUCCCUUAUGCCUCAGAAGUAUUUAUGACGGAAGUCUUUUCUGUAAAUAGGGCGUUUCCAUGGUAUCAAUUCUUCUGUGCUAGACCGGAGGACCAGGUAAACUUCUUGCCACAGGUGGGACAAAGGUACCUUUCCCAGGUGAAUUUGCUCGUGUCUAAGCAUGCAUGCUUGGUUAGUGACGCAUUUUGUGCACAUGGACCACAAAUAUGGUUUUAGUCAUCUGUGAGGGAUCUUCCUGUGAAAUAAAGGACAGCCCUCCGAGAAAAGCAAACGGAGCAUUGAUAUGGUUUUCCUCCUGUAUGCAUUAUUUCGUGUCUGAUGAGGGGUGUUUUUGUUGUGUCCUAGCUAGCAGAUGGCACUGUGCAAGGCGCCUCUGAUUGGCCAGGACGC
Molecule: long non-coding RNA, 2053 nt
Organism: Thamnophis sirtalis
Lineage: Eukaryota; Metazoa; Chordata; Lepidosauria; Squamata; Natricidae
Source: RefSeq, a predicted model, not a curated record